GACGAACGCUGGCGGCGUGCUUAACACAUGCAAGUCGAACGGAAAGGCCCUGCUUUUGUGGGGUGCUCGAGUGGCGAACGGGUGAGUAACACGUGAGUAACCUGCCCUUGACUUUGGGAUAACUUCAGGAAACUGGGGCUAAUACCGGAUAGGAGCUCCUGCUGCGUGUUGGUGGUUGGAAAGUUUCGGCGGUUGGGGAUGGACUCGAGGCUUAUGAGCUUGUUGGUGGGGUAGUGGCUUACGAAGGCUUUGACGGGUAGCCGGCCUGAGAGGGUGACCGGGCUCAAUGGGCCUGAGAUACGGCCCAGAAUCGUACGGGAGGCAGCAGUGGGGAAUAUUGCACAAUGGGCGGGCGCCUGAUGCAGAGACGCCGCGUGCGUGAUGCCGGGUUUCGGGGCGUAAACAGAUUUGGCAUGUGAUGAAGAGUGAGUGACGGUAAUGGGUAAAGAAGCCACGGCUAACUACGUG
Molecule: ribosomal RNA, 468 nt
Filed under: uncultured bacterium
Lineage: Bacteria
Description: partial 16S ribosomal RNA
Rfam family: Bacterial small subunit ribosomal RNA
Source: RNAcentral